Molecule: ribosomal RNA, 2730 nt
Filed under: Synura echinulata
Lineage: Eukaryota; Synurophyceae; Synurales; Mallomonadaceae
Description: bacterial LSU rRNA
Rfam family: Bacterial large subunit ribosomal RNA
Source: RNAcentral
GAAGCGAUGAAGGACGUGGCUACCGGCGAAACGUUUCGGGGAGUUGGAAGUAAGCUUUGAUCCGAAAAUAUCCGAAUGAGGAAACUCUUUAACUUCUUCUUGAAUCUAUAAAGAAAGAAAGAGCAAACCUAGGGAAUUGAAACAUUUUAGUACCUAGAGGAAAAGAAAGUAAAAACGAUUCCCUUAGUAGUGGCGAACGAAAAGGGAACAGCCUAAACUUUUUUUUUUUUAAAGAAAAGGGUUGUGGGAAAGAAAAUUCUGUAAAGAGAAAAUAAUUUAAAGUUUAUCUUUAAAGGAAUAGAAAUUAGGUGAAAAAAUUGGAAAAUUUUACCAAAGAAAGUGAUAGUCUUGUAACCGAAAAUUUCUUAAAAAUUCUUAUAUCCCGAGUAGCAUGGGGCACGUGGAAUCCCGUGUGAAUCUGCGAGGACCACCUCGUAAGGCUAAAUAUUCCUGGAUGUCCGAUAGCGAAGAGUACCGCGAGGGAAAGGUGAAAAGAACCCCGGGAGGGGAGUGAAAUAGAACGUGAAAUUGCAAGCCCACAAACAGAAGAAGAACGACUUAGCGUUUUACUUCGUGCCUGUUGAAGAAUGUUCCGGCGACUUAAAGUUAGUGGCAUGGUUAAGGUAGAGAUAUUGGAGCCAUAGUGAAAGCGAGCUUGAAUAGAGCGUAAAUUGUCACUAGUUUUAGACCCGAACCCGGUUGAUCUAACCAUGGCCAGGAUGAAACUUAGGUAACACUGAAUGGAGGUCCGAACCGACUGAUGUUGAAAAAUCAGCGGAUGAGUUGUGGUUAGGGGUGAAAUGCCAAUCGAAACCGGAGCUAGCUGGUUCUCCCCGAAAUGUAUUUAGGUGCAGCGGUUAAUCUUUUAGCGUAGGGGUAAAGCACUGUUUCGGUGCGGGCUGGUAAUUCGGUACCAAAUCGAGGCAAACUCUGAAUACUACGUGUACAAUUAACCAGUAAGACUAUGGGGGAUAAGCUUCAUAGUCAAGAGGGAAACAGCCCAGAUCACCAGCUAAGGCCCCUAAAUAAUUACUAAGUGAUAAAGGAAGUGGAAGGGCUUUGACAACCAGGAGGUUUGCUUAGAAGCAGCAAUCCUUUAAAAAGUGCGUAAUAGCUUACUGGUCUAGCAAUUCUGCGCCGAAAACUUAUGGGACUAAGUAAUUUGCCGAAGCUGUGAGAUAUUAAAAAUUUAAUAUCGGUAGGGGAGCGUUCUGCGGUAGAUUGAAGUGUUAGCGAAAGCGGGCAUGGACGAAACAGAAGUGAGAAUGUCGGAUUGAGUAGCGAAAACAUUGGUGAGAAUCCAAUGCUCCGAAAACCUAAGGUUUCCUCCGCAAGGCUCGUCCACGGAGGGUGAGUCAGGACCUAAGGUGAGGCUGAGAAGCGUAGCUGAUGGACAAUAGGUUAAUAUUCCUAUACUAAUUUUUACUGGUAUCGAGGGACGAAGAAGGCUAAACUAGCCAGAGAUUGGUUACUGGUUUAAAUUUUCGAGGUGUUGAAGGUUAGUGAAAAUAACUUGAGCUGAGAAAUGAAUACAAGAUUUUAAAAAUCAAAGUAGUUGAUGUCAUACUUCCAAGAAAAGCUCGCUAUGCCUUAAGUAAAAGUUACCUGUACCUUAAACCGACACAGGUAGGUAGGUAGAGAAUACCAAGGAGCGCGGGAGAACCCUCCUUAAGGAACUCGGCAAAAUAACUCUGUAACUUCGGAAGAAAGAGUGCCUUUUAGGCUGCAAUAUCAAGUUCCAAGCAACUGUUUAGCAAAAACACAGGUCUCCGCUAAGUUGUAAAACGACGUAUGGAGGCUGACGCCUGCCCAGUGCUGGAAGGUUAAAGAAGUCGGUUAGCGUAAGCAAAGCUGGUAACUGAAGCCCCAGUGAACGGCGGCCGUAACUAUAACGGUCCUAAGGUAGCGAAAUUCCUUGUCAGGUAAGUUCUGACCCGCACGAAUGGCGUAAUGAUUUGGAAGCUGUCUCGAGGAGGGACUCGGUGAAAUAGAACUGUCUGUGAAGAUGCGGACUACCUGCGCCUGGACAGUAAGACCCUAUGAAGCUUUACUGUAGCCUGAAAUUGGAUUUCGAUUUUCUUUGCGCAGAAUAGGUGGGAGACAUUGAAAAAGUUCUUUCGGGAAUUUUGGAGUCAACAGUGAGAUACCACUCUGAGAAAAUUAAAAUUCUAACUUCAUACCGUUAGCCGGUUGAAAGACAGUUUCAGGUGGGCAGUUUGACUGGGGCGGUCGCCUCCUAAAAGGUAACGGAGGCGUACAAAGGUUUCCUCAGAUCGGUCAGAAAUCGAUCUUCGAGUGCAAAGGCAAAAGGAAGCUUAACUGUGAGACAAACAAGUCGAGCAGAGACGAAAGUCGGUCUUAGUGAUCUGACGAUGCUGUGUGGAAAGGUCGUCACUCAACGGAUAAAAGUUACUCUAGGGAUAACAGGCUGAUCUCCCCCAAGAGUUCUUAUCGACGGGGAGGUUUGGGCCUCGAUGUCGGCUCAUCGCAUCCUGGGGCGGUAGUACGUCCCAAGGGUUGGGCUGUUCGCCCAUUAAAGCGGUACGUGAGCUGGGUUCAGAACGUCGCGAGACAGUUCGGUCCCUAUCCGGCGUGGGCGUUAGAGUAUUGAGAGUGACCUUUCUCUAGUACGAGAGGACCGAGAAAGACAUACCUCUAGUGUACCAGUUAUUGUGCCAACAGUAGACGCUGGGUAGCUAUGUAUGGUUAGGAUAACCGCUGAAAGCAUCU